Non-coding RNA from Paramormyrops kingsleyae, 1268 nucleotides. The record is from RefSeq and is a predicted model, not a curated record. Lineage: Eukaryota; Metazoa; Chordata; Actinopteri; Osteoglossiformes; Mormyridae.
AUUAAAGACAUAUAACGUCAUAGGAGGGACGAAUUGUUCUCCCUUCUCUUUGCAAAGGCUCUCGUACUUCUUUCUUACUUAGAGUGCGAUCUCUGGCAAACACUUGAAUAUUUCUCUGCCGAGUGAAGUGAAGAGGAUAAAAAUUGGCACUCCCGAGGUUGAGGCUAAGGAACACAGUAGAGUGAUGGUGAAAGGGGACAGAAUGCUCUUGCUGAAGAACUUCCAAGUAUCUUUGGGGUGAAGGGGAGAUGGAAUGGUACAGUUACCGUUAUUAAAAAGUGCAAGUGCAGUUCAACAGUAAGGCUACUGAUUUACAGGUCAACCAGUACACAUCCUUACCGGUGGACGUCAGCUUUUGGAAGAGACUAAAAAUAAACGAAAAAGUUUUCAAUGGAUGGAACCGGGGCUGUUUCUGUGGACUUUAGCUGUCCAGCAGGUCUCAGAGAAUAAUGGCUGCAAUCCAUAGAGAGAAGAGCUAGCUGGUGUGGUUCAUACACAAAAUAAGAAUAAAAUCCCCUUGACGGUUUUUAGGAGACCAAGGGAACAACCCAUUACCUGCUUAUGGAACUUCUUCUUUGACCAGAUCUGGGAUCACCUUUAGACAAACAAGCUCAAGCCAAGCACUUGGCUUGCCACGACGCCGCCCACACUAUCUCCUGGAGCAGAAGACACGGCGAUAAAACCGCAGCCUUUGCCAUAUGACCGUCGACACACAGGCCUCCACCAGGACCCAGUGUGACCCUGUUGUCCUCUGAGAUACUGGCAUCCUCACAAACAUACUGCUCACUCCCUUCACAUCAAGUGCACAUUGGCACCCGCGGUGCCAAAAGUCCAACAAGUCAAAUGAAUGACUACAGCAUCAAAAAAAAAAAGGUCUCUGAAAUUGGAGGAGGAUCAGUGUCUGUUAAUAUCAGUGUUUUCACAGCAGAAUAUGUUCAGUGUGGCCAUCUGCCACAUUAGGAAAAUGCCGCCUUGAUUUUCCUCUUGGUAUCAUUCAAUCAUGUGCUCUGAUUUGUAAUUUAAUAUUUAUACAUUUACAUGCUAUAAUUUAGUAUUGUAUUAUGGUGAGGCCAUUAUCUAUGAAACUCUGUCCAUCCACCCAUUUUUCAAUCCUGAAGAGGAUUCCAAUGAUGACCCUUCAUUUGCCAUUGCACAUAUCUGGCCUCUUAACAUAUUGAACUUUAGGAGAACACAAUGUACUGCUUGUGCUUUACUUCUAUUGAUUGCCAGGCCCAUGCUGCUAAAUUAAUAAAAUAAUUCUUUACUUA